GACGUAGGAUGCGAGCGUUGUCCGGAAUUAUUGGGCGUAAAGGGAGCGUAGGCGGUUUCAUAAGUUUGGGCUUAAAGACCGGGGCUCAACCCCGGGAGUGGCUUGAAUACUGUGAGGCUAGAGGACGGCAGAGGAAAGUGGAAUUCCCAGUGUAGCGGUGAAAUGCGUAGAUAUUGGGAGGAACACCAGUGGCGAAAGCGACUUUCUGGGCCGUUCCUGACGCUGAGGCUCGAAAGCUCGGGGAGCAAACAGG
Molecule: ribosomal RNA, 253 nt
Filed under: uncultured bacterium
Lineage: Bacteria
Description: partial 16S ribosomal RNA
Rfam family: Bacterial small subunit ribosomal RNA
Source: RNAcentral